RNAcentral lists this ribosomal RNA (1373 nucleotides) under uncultured bacterium. RNAcentral's name for it is "bacterial SSU rRNA". It matches the Rfam family "Bacterial small subunit ribosomal RNA", at positions 28 to 1381 of the family's 1533-position model. The record is from RNAcentral.
GAUGAACGCUGGCGGCGUGCCUAAUACAUGCAAGUCGAGCGAACGGACGAGAAGCUUGCUUCUCUGAUGUUAGCGGCGGACGGGUGAGUAACACGUGGAUAACCUACCUAUAAGACUGGGAUAACUUCGGGAAACCGGAGCUAAUACCGGAUAAUAUUUUGAACCGCAUGGUUCAAAAGUGAAAGACGGUCUUGCUGUCACUUAUAGAUGGAUCCGCGCUGCAUUAGCUAGUUGGUAAGGUAACGGCUUACCAAGGCAACGAUGCAUAGCCGACCUGAGAGGGUGAUCGGCCACACUGGAACUGAGACACGGUCCAGACUCCUACGGGAGGCAGCAGUAGGGAAUCUUCCGCAAUGGGCGAAAGCCUGACGGAGCAACGCCGCGUGAGUGAUGAAGGUCUUCGGAUCGUAAAACUCUGUUAUUAGGGAAGAACAUAUGUGUAAGUAACUGUGCACAUCUUGACGGUACCUAAUCAGAAAGCCACGGCUAACUACGUGCCAGCAGCCGCGGUAAUACGUAGGUGGCAAGCGUUAUCCGGAAUUAUUGGGCGUAAAAGCGCGCGUAGGCGGUUUUUUAAGUCUGAUGUGAAAGCCCACGGCUCAACCGUGGAGGGUCAUUGGAAACUGGAAAACUUGAGUGCAGAAGAGGAAAGUGGAAUUCCAUGUGUAGCGGUGAAAUGCGCAGAGAUAUGGAGGAACACCAGUGGCGAAGGCGACUUUCUGGUCUGUAACUGACGCUGAUGUGCGAAAGCGUGGGGAUCAAACAGGAUUAGAUACCCUGGUAGUCCACGCCGUAAACGAUGAGUGCUAAGUGUUAGGGGGUUUCCGCCCCUUAGUGCUGCAGCUAACGCAUUAAGCACUCCGCCUGGGGAGUACGACCGCAAGGUUGAAACUCAAAGGAAUUGACGGGGACCCGCACAAGCGGUGGAGCAUGUGGUUUAAUUCGAAGCAACGCGAAGAACCUUACCAAAUCUUGACAUCCUUUGACAACUCUAGAGAUAGAGCCUUCCCCUUCGGGGGACAAAGUGACAGGUGGUGCAUGGUUGUCGUCAGCUCGUGUCGUGAGAUGUUGGGUUAAGUCCCGCAACGAGCGCAACCCUUAAGCUUAGUUGCCAUCAUUAAGUUGGGCACUCUAAGUUGACUGCCGGUGACAAACCGGAGGAAGGUGGGGAUGACGUCAAAUCAUCAUGCCCCUUAUGAUUUGGGCUACACACGUGCUACAAUGGACAACACAAAGGGCAGCGAAACCGCGAGGUCAAGCAAAUCCCAUAAAGUUGUUCUCAGUUCGGAUUGUAGUCUGCAACUCGACUACAUGAAGCUGGAAUCGCUAGUAAUCGUAGAUCAGCAUGCUACGGUGAAUACGUUCCCGGGUCU